AUUGAACGCUGGCGGCAGGCCUAACACAUGCAAGUCGAACGGUAACAGGAAGCAGCUUGCUGCUUUGCUGACGAGUGGCGGACGGGUGAGUAAUGUCUGGGAAACUGCCUGAUGGAGGGGGAUAACUACUGGAAACGGUAGCUAAUACCGCAUAACGUCGCAAGACCAAAGAGGGGGACCUUCGGGCCUCUUGCCAUCGGAUGUGCCCAGAUGGGAUUAGCUAGUAGGUGGGGUAACGGCUCACCUAGGCGACGAUCCCUAGCUGGUCUGAGAGGAUGACCAGCCACACUGGAACUGAGACACGGUCCAGACUCCUACGGGAGGCAGCAGCGGGGAAUAUUGCACAAUGGGCGCAAGCCUGAUGCAGCCAUGCCGCGUGUAUGAAGAAGGCCUUCGGGUUGUAAAGUACUUUCAGCGGGGAGGAAGGGAGUAAAGUUAAUACCUUUGCUCAUUGACGUUACCCGCAGAAGAAGCACCGGCUAACUCCGUG
Molecule: ribosomal RNA, 490 nt
Filed under: uncultured bacterium
Lineage: Bacteria
Description: partial 16S ribosomal RNA
Rfam family: Bacterial small subunit ribosomal RNA
Source: RNAcentral